Molecule: long non-coding RNA, 272 nt
Filed under: Lathyrus oleraceus (garden pea)
Lineage: Eukaryota; Viridiplantae; Streptophyta; Magnoliopsida; Fabales; Fabaceae
Description: Pisum sativum (pea) long non-coding RNA (PSAT_LNC003239)
Source: RNAcentral
ACAAUAUGGUUGCCUUCACAACUCGUGUGAGAUCCAAGCUAAAUAUGUAUGGUGAUGGGGAGUCUAGAGAUGAAGAUCUCUCAAAUGAAGACGUUGUUGAAGCCUACAGGUUAUUGUACCUUAAGUGGAAAGAGGAAUGCAUAUCUAGGGAGAAACAAAGAGUUAAGAUCAGUGUUCUGCUUCAAGACAAAGUAAAUCUUACUAAAACUAUCACCUAGUUAAAAUAAUAAGUUGUACACCUAAACUCUAAGCUUGAAGUUAUAACCAAAUCA